This 454-nucleotide long non-coding RNA is filed under the name Pan troglodytes (chimpanzee). RNAcentral's name for it is "lincRNA". The record is from RNAcentral. Lineage: Eukaryota; Metazoa; Chordata; Mammalia; Primates; Hominidae.
CGCUCCCUGGAGGCCCCUCCAGAGAGGGACCCGGAGCCCCGCCCCGCAGCUGGAGAAGGGGUGAAUGCCUUUCCUACCUAACGCCUGGUCCGCGGCCCUGCUUGUUGCGUCUCCAAGACCACGUGUCUGCUGCAUUUUAAAAAUAGUUAUGAACAUCUGACUUUCUCCUUUUACUUUGGAGUUUGCUGAAAUGUAACCUCAGAAUAAGUGGGGUGUGACUGCCCUCUCCUUUCAGGGAAAAGAAAAAGUAUUUUCAGGCCAGGCACGGUGGCUCAUGCUUAUAAUCCCAGCACUUUGGGAGGCUGAGAAUACAUCAAUAAAAGAAGAACAAUUCAAGAGAAACAGGAAAUUCACAGAAGAGGAAACCGGAAUUGUCAUAAACAAAUGAAAAAUGCUCAACUUCCCUAGUAAUUAUGAGAAUUCAAAUCAAAAUAAAGACUUCAUUUCACACUUA